UCUAGUCCCAAUGUGAAAACAGGUCUGAUUCUAGUCCCAAUGUGAAAACAGGUCUGAUUCUAGUCCCAAUGUGAAAACAGGUCUGAUUCUAGUCCCAAUGUGAAAACAGGUCUGAUUCUAGUCCCAAUGUGACAACAGGUCUGAUUCUAG
Long non-coding RNA from Oncorhynchus keta (chum salmon), 150 nucleotides. RefSeq lists it as uncharacterized. Lineage: Eukaryota; Metazoa; Chordata; Actinopteri; Salmoniformes; Salmonidae. The record is from RefSeq and is a predicted model, not a curated record. The transcript is spliced from 3 exons.